AUGGUUAAGUUAUGAAGGGCGCACGGUGAAUGCCUUGGCACUAGGAGCCGAAGAAGGACGGGACGAACAGCGAAAUGCCUCGGGGAGCUGUAAGUAAGCUUUGAUC
Molecule: ribosomal RNA, 106 nt
Filed under: Alkalihalophilus pseudofirmus
Lineage: Bacteria; Bacillati; Bacillota; Bacilli; Caryophanales; Bacillaceae
Description: Bacillus pseudofirmus partial 23S ribosomal RNA
Rfam family: Bacterial large subunit ribosomal RNA
Source: RNAcentral